GGGGAUGAUCGGUUUCGACAUUGUUUGCGCAAUUGUGAGAAGCGGGUCGAGGAUGCAGGGUUAUCUCGUAAACGAUCUCUGCAAAAACAAUAAGUGCCAAAUCAAACCGCACUGACUUCGCUCUCGCUGCCUAAGCGAAAGCACUAAAGAAGUCCGCCAGACCGGGAAUGCUCUCUACCCGGAUCCUGACGCCAUUUAGAGAGCUUGCUUCUACAUUGAGCCACGGGGCGUAGAGGGACUUAAACGAAGGCUGGGCCUGUCGGAGUAGAUGCCAGUGGCAAAUUCCGGGGCCGAGAAAGCGAUUUCACUGGAUACACCCGUAGAAGGCAUAUGACCACAGCAAUGGACCGGGGUUCAAUUCCCCGCAUCUCCACCA
Molecule: transfer-messenger RNA, 376 nt
Filed under: Microbacteriaceae
Lineage: Bacteria; Bacillati; Actinomycetota; Actinomycetes; Micrococcales
Also listed under: 1 other name
Description: Cryobacterium sp002929825 Standard tmRNA
Rfam family: transfer-messenger RNA
About the family: Bacterial tmRNA, also known as 10Sa RNA or SsrA, is named for its dual tRNA and mRNA-like properties. Its role is to liberate the mRNA from a stalled ribosome. To accomplish this part of the tmRNA is used as a reading frame that ends in a translation stop signal.
Source: RNAcentral